CCUACGGGUGGCAGCAGUGAGGAAUAUUGGUCAAUGGGCGCAAGCCUGAACCAGCCAAGUCGCGUGAAGGAUGACUGCUCUAUGGUUUGUAAACUUCUUUUAUAUGGGAAUAAAGUGCAGUAUGUGUACUGCUUUGCAUGUACCUUAUGAAUAAGGAUCGGCUAACUCCGUGCCAGCAGCCGCGGUAAUACGGAGGAUUCGAGCGUUAUCCGGAUUUAUUGGGUUUAAAGGGGGCGUAGGCGGGUUGUUAAGUCAGUGGUGAAAGUUUGGGGCUCAACCAUAAAAUUGCCGUUGAUACUGGAAGCCUUGAGUACAGUAGAGGUAGGCGGAAUGCGUGGUGUAGCGGUGAAAUGCUUAGAUAUCACGAAGAACUCCGAUUGCGAAGGCAGCCUGCUGGACUGUAACUGACGCUGAGGCACGAAAGCGUGGGGAUCAAACAGGAUUAGAUACCCGAGUAGUC
This 460-nucleotide ribosomal RNA is filed under the name uncultured bacterium. RNAcentral's name for it is "partial 16S ribosomal RNA". It matches the Rfam family "Bacterial small subunit ribosomal RNA", at positions 338 to 795 of the family's 1533-position model. The record is from RNAcentral.